CAGGAACAAUGAGAUUUACUUCAGAAAUGUUUUUCACACCAGAAUUGAAACUUGACCCUGGACUGAAAGCUAUGCAGGGAUGUUACAGCUUUUGUUACAGCAACCCAACCAAACAAUUCCUCUGUAUGUUCUUUGCCCUUCGAAGAAGCAAAAGAGGACACAAACAUGUGAUGAAGUCUGCAAGUUAAUUUGGACAAGUUUGCAUUCCUGUUUUAAAAAGCAGUGGCAAAAGGAAGGAAUUUUUCUCUCCUUUGCUGGGAUCAAAAAUACUUUUGGUGGAAUCAAAUUCAUGGAAUAAUGUGAUGCAUCUGUGAAGAAGGCAAAUCCAAUUCUAAGAUGCUCCAGGGCAAACAUUUCCAAGAGAAGUAAGGAAGUUUUUGUGCCAUUGUACAAGGUCCCACAACAAACUCAUCUGGAAAAUUGUUCUAGUCAGCCAUAGUCAAGAAAAGAAAUUGAAAUGAGAAGAGCUACAUAUAAGAGCAACAAGGAACAUCAGGAGAAUGGGAGUUCGUACUUGGAGAGGAUUCUGGUAGAAGAGCACAGCUUGUUUGUAUGAGCAAAAUGAAGAUUGAAAAGGGGUAUGAUUACUGUCUUGGAAUACAUUAUAAGGGAAGCUCUUAGACAAGAGAGAAGCUGUUAAAUAUCACUGUUGGCAAAAACACAAAUGGAAAUGAACUGGCUAUAAUUAAACUGAGCACAGAUACUGGAGAAUGCCUGGCUAUCAAAAUAAAAAAGUUCUGAAAAAACUCUCAGAUCAAAAAAACAGGGCCAAAAAUCUUGGUCAAACAUUUUUGCCAAAUAUGCUUCCAGAUUCAUUUCACUAUCACACAAAAAACAAAAAUGCCAGAAUAAUAAUACUCAGUUGCAUUGCAAUGUUUUGAGUGAUUCUUUCUGAACUGCUCUGAUUUUUAAUGUGGGUUUCUUUGUUGUUUAUAACUCAUAUAUUUUGUGCUGCUUUGAUUCUGAAGAGAUUUAAGAAUACCUUAAAUUUCAAUGACCUGCUUUCAAUGGUCAACACUUUUCUAAUUCUCAUUCCAUUUGUACUUUAUAAUGUAUGCUAGUUUGCCCCCACUUUUUCCUGAAGGUUUUUGUUCCCUUCUGCCCACAUGCUAAACUAAGGGAAAGAAUAUAAAAUUUCAGAAAAGGUGUGGAACUUCCUCAAGCGGACACACAGAUCACCACUUUAGAAAAACAAUGCUAUGAUCUAUUUUAAUCUCAAAUUCAUUUCAUAGGGAAAAUCCAGAAGAUAUAUAACCAAAAAGCAACCAAAAGGUAGGAUUAUGAAAAAUUUAUAAAUUUUUGAUAGCAAGAAGUAACCAUUAUUUUACACUGAAAUCAUUACAUUUCAUAGUGAGUCACUGAUGGUUUAAUUCUACAUACUAAAGGACAAACCAUGUGCAGUUUGGUAUGUACUUGCACAGUUUUAUCUACUGCCAAUCAUUUUCGAUUGCAUCAUCAAAUUGUCAGCAAAGUGACAAGUAAAUGAGUUGGAAGGAUCCACAUGUUUAGCAAAUAAUAUUACAAUUCUUGGUUUUUAUUAAUUUCCAUAGCUCUUUGUUCAUCAGCCAAUCAAAACCCCUUUUGGAAAAGAAACACAGGUAAAUUCACUCAAGUUUGAAAUGAAUAUAAUAAUCCACAUUUCCGUAGUGAUUAUCUUCCAAAUUGUUUCUAGACUUGGAUUAGCAAUAUACUGAAUGUACAUUGUUUAAAUUGAGUAUCCCAGAUCUUUCACAUACACGUCACCAAACAGGAGGCCAGCCUCCCGGUGUGUCAUUCUUGCUGUUCAGGAUGCUGAAAAAUACCAAGGAAACAGAGAUUCCAGAGGCCAAACCUCCUGUUGAUGUACACAUCAGAUAUGAAGAUGAAAUCUUUCUGAUAUGUUUUCAGCUCUUCCUUAGACCUCAGUGCCUGAACUCAGUCAAAUGUCAUAGGAACAUUUCAUCUCUCAAGAUUUGGCUUCUGUAAAAUUGUUGAGGCAAGUUCUGAAACUUCAAUAUAGGGAAUACAGAAAACUGCCUGAAAUACAAUACCAUAAACAUCUUCUGAGAAGUGCAAAGGCACAGGAAAGGAAAGAUCCCUCUGAAAGUUCCUCAAGCAAAACUAUACCAUAUAAAUACUUCCAAGAAACUGACUGUUUUAUGGCACCAGUUCUGAGCGGAAAGAAGACACAGUGAACACAUGCCACACUACAGGAGUCUGCUGCUCUGAACUACUCCAGCUGCCAUUAGAUCUUCCAGCACUGCUUAAUUUCUUUAAAUUUUGUUUUAAUUCAAAAUAAUACCUCUAAUGCGUUGCUACCUCUGAGCUACUCUGAAUUUCUGAACCACCAUGGCAAGUGUCACUUGACAGUAUUGGCUGACUCAUUGCAGCCUGGACCCUUAGGCCUCUGUCAGUUUAUUUCUCAAAACAGAAUGAUUUCUGUCUGUCCUAUUUAAAUGCUUCCAUUUUAUGUCUAGAAAGCAUCAUGCCUUGAAACUAGUUCAUUAACUUUAUGUGCAGCAGUCACACAGAUGUGAUGUCAGCACUUGUCAUGAAUGCCCAAAACAUGGCUGAAAAAAUAUUAUUAAUUUUCACUUUAAGCAUUAUUCCUGUUAACAAGACAAACCAGAUUAUCAAAUAGUUUGUGCCUUUUUAUCACAGCUGAGAUUUAAGUUUGCAAUCAAAACUUAAACUUUUGGAACAAUUAUCAAGCACAGUAACUGAAAACACAACAUGCAAACAUGUAUAUAUGCAUAUAAAAUAUUAGUUUCAAACAGCAGUUCUAAAAAUGGUAUCAUUUAAGUUCCCUACAAACUUAAUGGUACCACUAUCUUUUUGAUUUUUUUUUUCUUUUUUGCCUUUUUCCCCCUUUAUGGUUUUUUGUUUGUUUGUUUGUUUGGUGGUUUUUUGGGGUUUUUUGGGGGGGGGUUGUUUGCUUGUUUGUUUGUUUGUUUGUUUGUGUUUUGUUUUGUUUUGUUUUUCUUUGCAAGGAGCUACUUACUGAAAUCAACUGCCAGGGAUUCAGUAUUUUUUUGAAAACUUUUAGGAUAAAUAUUAGUUGAGAAUACUCUCUGGAGAUACGAUUUUCUGAAAAUGCUGAAAUGCUGACCAUGGCUGAUAAAGCACAGUAGUGCUUUAAGCAGUAUUACAUUCUAGCAUAGCGUGGCCUGUCAUAAAAAAGCAGAUAGAGGUUCAUGAACUAUUUGAGAAGAAAACAAAAAAAGCUUUAAUAGUUAAAUAAAAAUUUUACUUUGUCAUAUAUUGAUAAAGAGACAUGUUUGGAAUAUUUUGUCAAAUGUGUUUGAAUGUUUGUUCACGAAAAUAUGAGAAUGAAAUCAGUUUUCCUUUGCAAGCAUGCCAUAGUCACUCCUCUCUUAUCCCUCUCUGUUUCAGAUGAAAGUUCUUACAGGUCCUUUUCCCUACCUAAUUUUUAACUUGAUAUUUCUGCUAUCCAUAUCUUGCCAUUCAGUGCUGAUACUUUUGCUUCUUUCACCCACAUCACCCUAGCACAGAUCACACUUCUGUCUGUGACACUCCAUUUCUGUCUUACAGAUUCCCAUUACAUGAAGCCAGUUGCUUUCCCAGCCUUUUCAUCCUGCCAAUAACCUUUCUUUUCCUCUCAAAGAUAUUAUCUUUUUAAUUCUUUUUUCUAGAAUUCCUCCCUAUGUCUCCUGAAUUUAUGCUUCUGGACAAAAAGAAAUUGAUUAGUUAAGGUCAAAGUUUUUUAAUUCAAAGAACUUUAAUGUGUAUCUAAAUGCAUAUUUUAAAAACAAUA
Long non-coding RNA from Prinia subflava (tawny-flanked prinia), 3754 nucleotides. RefSeq lists it as uncharacterized. The record is from RefSeq and is a predicted model, not a curated record. The transcript is spliced from 3 exons. NCBI's taxonomy places the organism in Eukaryota, Metazoa, Chordata, Aves, Passeriformes, Cisticolidae.